GAUGAACGCUGGCGGCGUGCCUAAUACAUGCAAGUCGAGCGAACAGACGAGGAGCUGGCUCCUCUGACGUUAGCGGCGGACGGGUGAGUAACACGUGGAUAACCUACCUAUAAGACUGGGAUAACUUCGGGAAACCGGAGCUAAUACCGGAUAAUAUAUUGAACCGCAUGGUUCAAUAGUGAAAGACGGUUUUGCUGGCACUUAUAGACGGAUACACGCCGCAUUAGCUAGUUGGUAAGGUAACGGCUGACUAAGGCAACGAUGCCAACACGACCGGAGAGGAUGAACGGCCGCAAUGGAACUCAAACACGGUCCCGACACCUACGGGCUGCAGAAGUACGGAGUCUUCCGCAAUCGUCGAAAUCCUAUCAAGAAAACCACCAGUACGUGCUGAAGCUCUUCGGCUCGCAAAACACUGCUAUGAGGGAAGAACAAAAGUGGAAGGUAAUAUACACGUCUUGAAAGUACCUGAUACGAAAGCCACGGCCAACUUCGUA
RNAcentral lists this ribosomal RNA (497 nucleotides) under uncultured bacterium. RNAcentral describes it as "partial 16S ribosomal RNA". It matches the Rfam family "Bacterial small subunit ribosomal RNA", at positions 28 to 507 of the family's 1533-position model. The record is from RNAcentral.